Molecule: ribosomal RNA, 565 nt
Filed under: uncultured bacterium
Lineage: Bacteria
Description: partial 16S ribosomal RNA
Rfam family: Bacterial small subunit ribosomal RNA
Source: RNAcentral
UGGGGAAUUUUGGACAAUGGGGGAAACCCUGAUCCAGCCAUCCCGCGUGUGCGAUGAAGGCCUUCGGGUUGUAAAGCACUUUUGGCAGGAAAGAAACGUCGCGGGUUAAUACCCCGCGAAACUGACGGUACCUGCAGAAUAAGCACCGGCUAACUACGUGCCAGCAGCCGCGGUAAUACGUAGGGUGCAAGCGUUAAUCGGAAUUACUGGGCGUAAAGCGUGCGCAGGCGGUUCGGAAAGAAAGAUGUGGAAUCCCAGAGCUUAACUUUGGAACUGCAUUUUUAACUACCGGGCUAGAGUGUGUCAGAGGGAGGUGGAAUUCCGCGUGUAGCAGUGAAAUGCGUAGAUAUGCGGAGGAACACCGAUGGCGAAGGCAGCCUCCUGGGAUAACACUGACGCUCAUGCACGAAAAGCGUGGGGAGCAAACAGGAUUAGAUACCCUGGUAGUCCACGCCCUAAACGAUGUCAACUAGCUGUUGGGGCCUUCGGGCCUUGGUAGCGCAGCUAACGCGUGAAGUUGACCGCCUGGGGAGUACGGUCGCAAGAUUAAAACUCAAAUGAAUUG